UUUUUAGAAUAAGUAUGUCCCAUGCAAUAUUUGGGACAUAUUUAUGCCAAAA
Molecule: microRNA precursor, 52 nt
Filed under: Equus caballus (horse)
Lineage: Eukaryota; Metazoa; Chordata; Mammalia; Perissodactyla; Equidae
Description: mir-1302 microRNA precursor family
Rfam family: mir-1302 microRNA precursor family
Source: Rfam by way of RNAcentral